UACGUAGGGUGCAAGCGUUGUCCGGAUUUAUUGGGCGUAAAGAGCUCGUAGGCGGUUUGUCGCGUCUGCCGUGAAAGUCCGGGGCUCAACUCCGGAUCUGCGGUGGGUACGGGCAGACUAGAGUGAUGUAGGGGAGACUGGAAUUCCUGGUGUAGCGGUGAAAUGCGCAGAUAUCAGGAGGAACACCGAUGGCGAAGGCAGGUCUCUGGGCAUUAACUGACGCUGAGGAGCGAAAGCAUGGGGAGCGAACAGG
RNAcentral lists this ribosomal RNA (253 nucleotides) under uncultured bacterium. RNAcentral's name for it is "partial 16S ribosomal RNA". It matches the Rfam family "Bacterial small subunit ribosomal RNA", at positions 524 to 776 of the family's 1533-position model. The record is from RNAcentral.